AGACUGAUGAAAAUUUUCCUCGCUUUACAAUUGCGUUCGUUUGUUAAAUACUCGUUAGAAACAUCGAGAAAGUUCCAAUCGCCGUUGCUGGGCAGUUUCUGCCUGGAGUUUGAUUAUUAAUGCAACGUGUGUCCCAUUAUAUUGGCACCUGCGAGGCAAAAUGUGCAUCCCGUGACCGUGGCUACGUUCGGCGACCUGUUGUGACACCUCGAGCCCAAUCUCACUAUCACAAAUCUCGAACAAUUACAAUCAGAUCGAAUGACGACAAUUGCUUAAUUACGGCUAUGAUAGAAUCUAGGCUAAAGUAUUAGAGGAUUUUCGCAAAAUUUCAAAGGAAAGGCUCGGCUUUCCUUUCAUCUCCGACAUAUAUAUACUUUAGCCAAUCGUCUU
Molecule: unclassified non-coding RNA, 390 nt
Filed under: Bombus terrestris (buff-tailed bumblebee)
Lineage: Eukaryota; Metazoa; Arthropoda; Insecta; Hymenoptera; Apidae
Description: misc RNA ENSBTSG00005022804.1
Source: RNAcentral